RNAcentral lists this ribosomal RNA (1677 nucleotides) under Apistus carinatus (ocellated waspfish). Its description in RNAcentral is "16S rRNA". It matches the Rfam family "Bacterial large subunit ribosomal RNA". The record is from RNAcentral. Lineage: Eukaryota; Metazoa; Chordata; Actinopteri; Perciformes; Apistidae.
GGCUUAGUAGCUAGCCCAUAAAUACAAUAGCAACAACUCAUCAUAAAUAACCCCUCAUCCAACAAAUAAAUAAAACAAACCAUUUUUCCUCCUUAGUAUAGGCGACAGAAAAGGAAAUAGGAGCAAUAAGAAAAGUACCGCAAGGGACUGCUGAAAGAGAAAUGAAAAAACCCAGUAAAGCCUAAAAAAGCAGAGACUAAACCUCGUACCUUUUGCAUCAUGAUUUAGCCAGUGUAAACCAAGCAAAGCGAACUUUAGCUUGCCACCCGAAACUAAGUGAGCUACUCCAAGACAGCCUACAUAAAGGGCCAACCCGUCUCUGUGGCAAAAGAGUGGGAAGAGCUUCGAGUAGCGGUGACAAACCUACCGAACUUAGUUAUAGCUGGUUGCCUAAGAACCGGAUAGAAGUUCAGCCCUUAAGUUUUCUCUAUUCCUGUUAGUACUACCCCUAUUGAUACAAGAAACUUAAGGAGUUAUUCAAAGGGGGUACAGCCCCUUUGAAAUAAGAUACAACUUUUUUAGGAGGAUAAAGAUCAUAGUAAUUAAAGUAAAACACCCUCGUAGGCCUAAAAGCAGCCACCUUUGCAGAAAGCGUUAAAGCUCUUAUAAAUUAAUAACUAUUAAUACUGAUCACCCACUCUUAUUCCCCUAUUUUCUACUAGGCCAUUUUAUGCACCACAUAAAAGUGUUCAUGCUAAUAUGAGUAAUAAGAGAGCUCAGCCUCUCUCCUAGCACAUGUGUAACUCGGAACGGACCUACCACCGAAAUUUAACGGCCCAUAUCCAAGAAGGUAUUGAGUAAAAAAUAAAAAACCAGAAAAAACCUCAAACAAAACCGUUAACCCUACACAGGCGCGCUCGCAAGGAAAGACUAAAACAAAGAGAAGGAACUCGGCAAAUGCUAAAGCCUCGCCUGUUUACCAAAAACAUCGCCUCUUGAUAUAUUAACUAUAAGAGGUCCCGCCUGCCCUGUGACAUUAGUUUAACGGCCGCGGUAUUUUGACCGUGCGAAGGUAGCGUAAUCACUUGUCUUUUAAAUGUAGACCUGUAUGAAUGGCAAAACGAGGGCUUAACUGUCUCCUCUAUUCAGUCAAUGAAAUUGAUCUCCCCGUGCAGAAGCGGGGCUAAAAACAUAAGACGAGAAGACCCUAUGAAGCUUUAGGCGAAAGACAGCUCACGUUAAAACCCCUAAGAAAAAAGACAAAACAUAAUGAUAUCUGUCCUGAUGCCUUUGGUUGGGGCGACCGCGGAGAAAUAAAAAUCCUCCACGUGGAAGAUAACACAGUUAUUUAAAUCAAGAGCUACAGCUCUAAUUAAUAGAACUUCUAACCUACAAGACCCGGCAAUGCCGAUUAACGAACCAAGUUACUCUAGGGAUAACAGCGCAAUCCCCUUUUAGAGCCCAUAUCGACAAGGGGGUUUACGACCUCGAUGUUGGAUCAGGACAUCCUAAUGGUGCAGCCGCUAUUAAGGGUUCGUUUGUUCAACGAUUAAAGUCCUACGUGAUCUGAGUUCAGACCGGAGUAAUCCAGGUCAGUUUCUAUCUAUGCCAUGUUCUUUUUUAGUACGAAAGGACCGAGAAGAAAAGGCCCAUUCUUAAGGUACGCCUUCUCCUUACCCGAUGAAGCCAACUCAAUCGGAUAAAAGGACAUACUCUUUUCGCAGAAGAUAACUGCUU